AAGUCGUAACAAGGUUUCCGUAGGUGAACCUGCGGAAGGAUCAUUAUGAAUGUAGGCGCUGUCCCGUCAGGGGCAGUGACUCUCUAUCUGUGCAACACUUUUGUUUGGUCGUGUGUGGAUGUGAGUGUGCGCAAGCACCACGAACAUCUUCCCGACCAAUAUUUACACCAACUAAAGUCUGACUACAAACAAAUGAAAAAAACUUUCAACAAUGGAUCUCUUGGCUCUGGCAUCGAUGAAGAACGCAGCGAAAUGCGAUAAGUAAUGUGAAUUGCAGAAUUCAGUGAAUCAUCGAAUCUUUGAACGCACAUUGCGCCUCUUGGUAUUCCGGGAGGCAUGCCUGUCUGAGUGUUUUAUCUCUCUACUGUUUAUUCUUUUACGAUUUACGGUGUGUUGGAUGUAGUGGAUUUGAUCGAGAGAUUGAGUCAAUCACACAUCCCAAGUACAACGGUGCAAGUAAACUGCAACAAUGUUUAGAUAAUGAUCAUUGAAGCAAUUAGACAAACACCCUAAGCCAUUCUCUCGACCUGUUGAUCUCGAUCUGACGAUCUCGAUCAACGGCCGAGAUAAUAACAAAACAUAACCUCAGAUCAGGUAGGACUACGCGCUGAACUUAAGCAUAUCAAUAAGCGCAGGAAAAGAAACUAACUAGGAUGCCUUCAGUAGCGGCGAGCGAAGCAGGCAGAGCUCAAAUUUGUAAUCUAGCGUCAGUUCUGUCGUCCGAGUUGUAAUUUCAAAGGUCGGGUUGGUUGUUGCAGGUGACAAGUCUGUUGGAACGCAGCUCUGUGAAGGGUGAUAGUCCCGUCCAAUCUCCGUACGCAACAGCAUAUCUCCCUUCCUGAAGAGUCGAGUUGUUUGGGAAUGCAGCUCUAAAUUGGAGGUAAAUUUCUUCUAAAGCUAAAUAUUGGCCAGAGACCGAUAGCGAACAAGUAGUGUGAACGAAAGAUGAAAAGGACUUUGAAAAGAGAGUUAAAAGUAUGUGAAAUUGUUGAAAGGGAAGCGGUUGUCUGUGAAGGUUUUGUGCGCUUGCGUAUGAAUCCCUCAGCAUCAGUUUGGGUUGUGGUAGAAUGACAUUGGAACGUGGCUUCAUUCGUGAAGUGUUAUAGCCUGUGUUGAUGUCGCACCCCGGACUGAGGACUUUUGAAGAUGCUGAGUAGUGGCCAACCGACC
Molecule: ribosomal RNA, 1170 nt
Filed under: uncultured fungus
Lineage: Eukaryota; Fungi
Description: eukaryotic LSU rRNA
Rfam family: Eukaryotic large subunit ribosomal RNA (bases 581-1170)
Source: RNAcentral